UCCAGCUUGCUGGAGUGGAUGAGUGGCGAACGGGUGAGUAACACGUGAGUAACCUUCCCUUGACUCUGGGAUAAGCCCGGGAAACUGGGUCUAAUACCGGAUAUGACCUCCUAUCGCAUGGUGGGGGGUGGAAAGAUUUAUCGGUCUUGGAUGGACUCGCGGCCUAUCAGCUUGUUGGUGAGGUAAUGGCUCACCAAGGCGACGACGGGUAGCCGGCCUGAGAGGGUGACCGGCCACACUGGGACUGAGACACGGCCCAGACUCCUACGGGAGGCAGCAGUGGGGAAUAUUGCACAAUGGGCGCAAGCCUGAUGCAGCGACGCCGCGUGAGGGAUGACGGCCUUCGGGUUGUAAACCUCUUUCAGUAGGGAAGAAGCCUUCGGGUGACGGUACCUGCAGAAGAAGCGCCGGCUAACUACGUGCCAGCAGCCGCGGUAAUACGUAGGGCGCGAGCGUUAUCCGGAAUUAUUGGGCGUAAAGAGCUCGUAGGCGGUUUGUCGCGUCUGCCGUGAAAGUCCGGGGCUUAACCCCGGAUCUGCGGUGGGUACGGGCAGACUAGAGUGCAGUAGGGGAGACCGGAAUUCCUGGUGUAGCGGUGAAAUGCGCAGAUAUCAGGAGGAACACCGAUGGCGAAGGCAGGUCUCUGGGCUGUUACUGACGCUGAGGAGCGAAAGCAUGGGGAGCGAACAGGAUUAGAUACCCUGGUAGUCCAUGCCGUAAACGUUGGGCACUAGGUGUGGGGGACAUUCCACGUUUUCCGCGCCGCAGCUAACGCAUUAAGUGCCCCGCCUGGGGAGUACGGCCGC
Molecule: ribosomal RNA, 806 nt
Filed under: Citricoccus alkalitolerans
Lineage: Bacteria; Bacillati; Actinomycetota; Actinomycetes; Micrococcales; Micrococcaceae
Description: bacterial SSU rRNA
Rfam family: Bacterial small subunit ribosomal RNA
Source: RNAcentral